This is a long non-coding RNA of Amphimedon queenslandica, 182 nucleotides long. RefSeq lists it as uncharacterized. Lineage: Eukaryota; Metazoa; Porifera; Demospongiae; Haplosclerida; Niphatidae. The record is from RefSeq and is a predicted model, not a curated record. The transcript has 3 exons.
AGUGGUAUAUAUUUGAUCAAAAAAGAACAUGUUAAAUUUCAGCAGAAAACUGAAAAUCUAAGCCAAAGGAGAAGAAAGGAUUUUCUUUUAUUUGAAGAUGACAUUUAUGGUAACAUAAUCAUUGAUCAUCCAUUGAUUAUAAAAAUUGUACAAUCACGUCAAUUUCAAAGACUAAAAAAAAU